Molecule: ribosomal RNA, 427 nt
Filed under: uncultured bacterium
Lineage: Bacteria
Description: partial 16S ribosomal RNA
Rfam family: Bacterial small subunit ribosomal RNA
Source: RNAcentral
GUGAGGAAUCUUCCACAAUGGGCGAAAGCCUGAUGGAGCAACGCCGCGUGAAGGAUGAAGGUCUUCGGAUUGUAAACUUCUUUUAUGAGUGAAGAAUAUGACGGUAACUCAUGAAUAAGCACCGGCUAACUACGUGCCAGCAGCCGCGGUCAUACGUAGGGUGCAAGCAUUAUCCGGAGUGACUGGGCGUAAAGAGUUGCGUAGGUGGUUUAUUAAGUGAAUAGUGAAAGCUAGCGGCUCAACCGUAUAGAUUAUUAUUCAAACUGGUAAACUCGAGAAUGGUAGAGGUAACUGGAAUUUCUUGUGUAGGAGUGAAAUCCGUAGAUAUAAGAAGGAACACCAAUGGCGUAGGCAGGUUACUGGACCAUUUCUGACACUAAGGCACGAAAGCGUGGGGAGCGAACCGGAUUAGAACCCCCGGUAGUCC